RNAcentral lists this ribosomal RNA (786 nucleotides) under Listeria monocytogenes. Its description in RNAcentral is "bacterial LSU rRNA". It matches the Rfam family "Bacterial large subunit ribosomal RNA", at positions 1 to 781 of the family's 2925-position model. The record is from RNAcentral. Lineage: Bacteria; Bacillati; Bacillota; Bacilli; Caryophanales; Listeriaceae.
UUGGUUAAGUUAGAAAGGGCGCACGGUGGAUGCCUUGGCACUAGGAGCCGAAGAAGGACGGGACUAACACCGAUAUGCUUUGGGGAGCUGUACGUAAGCGUUGAUCCAGAGAUUUCCGAAUGGGGGAACCCACUAUCUUUAGUCGGAUAGUAUCCUUACGUGAAUACAUAGCGUGAGGAAGGCAGACCCAGGGAACUGAAACAUCUAAGUACCUGGAGGAAGAGAAAGAAAAAUCGAUUUCCUGAGUAGCGGCGAGCGAAACGGAAAGAGCCCAAACCAAGAAGCUUGCUUCUUGGGGUUGUAGGACACUCUAUACGGAGUUACAAAAGAAAGUUAUAAAUGAAGCGGUCUGGAAAGGCCCGCCAAAGACGGUAACAGCCCGGUAGUUGAAAUGGCUUUCCCUCCAGAGUGGAUCCUGAGUACGGCGGAACACGUGAAAUUCCGUCGGAAUCCGGGAGGACCAUCUCCCAAGGCUAAAUACUCCCUAGUGACCGAUAGUGAACCAGUACCGUGAGGGAAAGGUGAAAAGCACCCCGGAAGGGGAGUGAAACAGUUCCUGAAACCGUGUGCCUACAAGUAGUUAGAGCCCGUUAAUGGGUGAUAGCGUGCCUUUUGUAGAAUGAACCGGCGAGUUACGAUUUGUUGCAAGGUUAAGCGGAAAAAGCGGAGCCGUAGCGAAAGCGAGUCUGAAUAGGGCGCAUAAGUAACAGGUCGUAGACCCGAAACCAGGUGAUCUACCCAUGUCCAGGAUGAAGGUAAGGUAAUACUUACUGGAGGUCCGAACCC